This is a long non-coding RNA of Galeopterus variegatus (Sunda flying lemur), 1965 nucleotides long. RefSeq lists it as uncharacterized. The record is from RefSeq and is a predicted model, not a curated record. The transcript has 2 exons. NCBI's taxonomy places the organism in Eukaryota, Metazoa, Chordata, Mammalia, Dermoptera, Cynocephalidae.
GAGGGCUGUAUUGGCUCCUGCAGUUGUGUGCAGUGACAGAGACCUGGCCCAGUGGCUGGUGAGCAUGAAGCAAGAGCUCAGACCAUCCAGCCCACCUGUGCCGGGUGGGACCACGCACUCCCACUCUGUGCUCCUCCCAUUGACUGUGCACCUGUGUGGUCUCAGUGGCUGCUGCUAUCCUGGAGACCCCCCAGAACUCCCAGUCCACAUGGGACCUCAAGGAUGCAGAGAACCCCCAAAUGCCAGGGCUGAGCGGGACCCCCGAGUUCAUUCCCCCUUUCACAUCCUAUGAGAGGUAAGAAAACUGAGGUCUCUGGUAGGAUGCUUUGCUGUGGGUUCUUUUUUUCCUGCUGAGGAUUGUCUAAACUUUGGGGUGGAAACACUGGGGUAAGAACCCACCUCCAGUGACUAAACAGUGUCUUUCUUUGUAUAUACCAGGGUGACCUAGUGCGGGAAGGGCUGCAAAAACACCAAGUUGGGACCUCAAUGUCCAAAGGGGUGGGAGGAGGACUGUUCCCCUGCAGUAGAGCUUCUGGAAGCCAGGUCCCUUGACUCUGCAUGUUGGCACAUAGUAGGUGCUCAGCCAGCACCUGUCUCCCUGUAUCAGAUCUGGCCACAGACACCAGCACAUAGUAGAUGUUCAGCACAUGAGGAGGGGGUGUUGAAUCUGGCCUUUGUAUCGCCUGGAGGAAGUGGACACGAGGCAUUCAGAGAAUGUUUGUGGAAUGAAUAAAUAAAAGCAUGUUCUCUUAAAGAAGCAGAAAAUGCAGAAGAAUCCAGGAAAGACAGGCAUAAAUCUCCACCAAGUGCUGCCAAGACUGCAGCUAAGGCCACUGAAAAGUCCCUGCAGAUGGAGAGGGGCCAUUUGUCAUGGACGGGGAUGGGCUUGAGGGCCAGGGAGCAGGUCGUGAUGGAGGACCAUUUGUCAUCUUCCUAUUAUACCCAUGCCACUCACAUCAUCUGCAUGCACAGCCACCUGCCCAAGGGCACCAGGCCCUGAGCCCAGUGAGUGUGGGGCUGGGGGCCUGAGGCUGGGAGUGGGAAGGACCCUAAGGAGAGGCAGGCUGGGCUGGGUGAGCAGGCAGCCCGGCGGGGAGUCCACCUCCUCCAGAAAGCCUUCCCUGACUGAUCCUGCACAUGCAGAGUCUCAGUUUGCAGUCAGAUAUUCAUUACUCUGAUUCUCUGAUCAACAGGUAUUUCCCUACCCACACUUCAAGCUCUGCUGGAGCAGGGGCCAUUUCUGAUUUGUUCACCAUGGUAUGCCUGUACCCGGCACAGGAUCUUGUCUGGAGAAGGUGUUGCGUGAUGCCUGCGGCCUUCCUUCCCUUUGCAGGCCAAGUGCUGGACCGGGCACUCGGCAGGUCUUCAGUAUGUGGACAUCAAGGAGCAGAGCCUUCCAUUGAUCCCAACCAUGAGCCAAGAACAGGGACACAGGCAUCCACACCAGGCUGCUUGUGCCAGGAGAGAUGUGGCUGUGAGCUGGGCAGCCCGGCCAGACCCCAGAAGCAUUCUCUGGGUCUGUGGAGUCUCAGCCCCGGAUCUGCUCCAAAAUGUUCCAGAAUGUUCCCUGUCCUUGGAGAAGGCCAAGCCCCCUGCAACCCCCAGAUGCACAGUACCCUGCCGGACCCGUGGCUUCUCCCCACUUCACCCAGCAAGAGAGAGCCCCGGGGCACUGAGAAGCCUCCUGUAUCCCCCCACACUUUAAAGGACCCUGAUCGAGUACCUGGGGGCCAAGCCCUCACCGGGACAGCAGCAGCCUUCGCUGUGGGAGCGGGUGUGCUGCCUGGGCACUGGGAUAAACACCGAGUGGCAAUAAACUGGAUGAAAGAGCAGAGGACAUGUGCUCCUCUCCCAGCGUGGACAGCGAGGCUGGGGAGGAAGGCAGGAAUUCCUCCUCUUUGUUUUCAAACACUUUGAAUGUUGUCAAGCCAUUUGAAUAAUAAAUACACAGUAUCAAGAUGUAAA